GUGGAUUAGAUACCCUGGUAGUCCACGCCCUAAACGAUGUCUACUAGUUGUCGGGUCUUAAUUGACUUGGUAACGCAGCUAACGCGUGAAGUAGACCGCCUGGGGAGUACGGUCGCAAGAUUAAAACUCAAAGGAAUUGACGGGGACCCGCACAAGCGGUGGAUGAUGUGGAUUAAUUCGAUGCAACGCGAAAAACCUUACCUACCCUUGACAUGGCAGGAAUCCUGAAGAGAUUUAGGAGUGCUCGCAAGAGAACCUGCACACAGGUGCUGCACGGUCGUCGUCAGCU
RNAcentral lists this ribosomal RNA (289 nucleotides) under uncultured bacterium. Its description in RNAcentral is "partial 16S ribosomal RNA". It matches the Rfam family "Bacterial small subunit ribosomal RNA", at positions 773 to 1060 of the family's 1533-position model. The record is from RNAcentral.